UUAACUCAAAUUUGUAUGGAGAUGAAAUGUUUGCUUACGUUUAUCGCUAGGGGCGCUGUUUCAACUGCAUACCAUUACCGAUC
Molecule: microRNA precursor, 83 nt
Filed under: Bombyx mori (domestic silkworm)
Lineage: Eukaryota; Metazoa; Arthropoda; Insecta; Lepidoptera; Bombycidae
Description: mir-2807 microRNA precursor family
Rfam family: mir-2807 microRNA precursor family
Source: Rfam by way of RNAcentral